GACGAACGCUGGCGGCGUGCUUAACACAUGCAAGUCGAACGGUGAAGCGAGUGCUUGCACUCGUGGAUCAGUGGCGAACGGGUGAGUAACACGUGAGUAACCUGCCCAUCACUCUGGGAUAAGCACUGGAAACGGUGUCUAAUACUGGAUACGACCAACCCUUGCAUGGGGUGUUGGUGGAAAGAUUUAUCGGUGAUGGAUGGACUCGCGGCCUAUCAGCUUGUUGGCGGGGUAAUGGCCCACCAAGGCGACGACGGGUAGCCGGCCUGAGAGGGUGACCGGCCGCACUGGGACUGAGACACGGCCCAGACUCCUACGGGAGGCAGCAGUGGGGAAUAUUGCACAAUGGGCGAAAGCCUGAUGCAGCGACGCCGCGUGAGGGAUGACGGCCUUCGGGUUGUAAACCUCUUUCAGCAGGGAAGAAGCGAAAGUGACGGUACCCGCAGAAGAAGCACCGGCUAACUACGUG
Molecule: ribosomal RNA, 469 nt
Filed under: uncultured bacterium
Lineage: Bacteria
Description: partial 16S ribosomal RNA
Rfam family: Bacterial small subunit ribosomal RNA
Source: RNAcentral